CCAGACUCCUACGGGAGGCAGCAGUGGGGAAUAUUGGACAAUGGGGGGAACCCUGAUCCAGCGACGCCGCGUGAGUGAAGAAGUAUUUCGGUAUGUAAAGCUCUAUCAGCAGGGAAGAAAGAAAUGACGGUACCUGACUAAGAAGCCCCGACUAACUACGUGCCAGCAGCCGCGGUAAUACGUAGGGGGCAAGCGUUAUCCGGAUUUACUGGGUGUAAAGGGAGCGUAGACGGCUAUGCAAGUCUGGAGUGAAAGGUGGGGGCCCAACCCCCGGACUGCUCUGGAAACUGUAGAGCUAGAGUGCAGGAGAGGUAAGUGGAAUUCCUAGUGUAGCGGUGAAAUGCGUAGAUAUUAGGAGGAACACCAGUGGCGAAGGCGGCUUACUGGACUGUAACUGACGUUGAGGCUCGAAAGCGUGGGGAGCAGACAGGAUUAGAUACCCCAGUA
RNAcentral lists this ribosomal RNA (447 nucleotides) under uncultured bacterium. RNAcentral describes it as "bacterial SSU rRNA". It matches the Rfam family "Bacterial small subunit ribosomal RNA", at positions 331 to 792 of the family's 1533-position model. The record is from RNAcentral.